RNAcentral lists this ribosomal RNA (656 nucleotides) under uncultured Pseudomonadota bacterium. RNAcentral's name for it is "bacterial SSU rRNA". It matches the Rfam family "Bacterial small subunit ribosomal RNA", at positions 69 to 719 of the family's 1533-position model. Lineage: Bacteria; Pseudomonadati; Pseudomonadota. The record is from RNAcentral.
CAGGAAGCAGCUUGCUGCUUCGCUGACGAGUGGCGGACGGGUGAGUAAUGUCUGGGAAGCUGCCUGAUGGAGGGGGAUAACUACUGGAAACGGUAGCUAAUACCGCAUAAUGUCGCAAGACCAAAGAGGGGGACCUUCGGGCCUCUUGCCAUCGGAUGUGCCCAGAUGGGAUUAGCUUGUUGGUGGGGUAACGGCUCACCAAGGCGACGAUCCCUAGCUGGUCUGAGAGGAUGACCAGCCACACUGGAACUGAGACACGGUCCAGACUCCUACGGGAGGCAGCAGUGGGGAAUAUUGCACAAUGGGCGCAAGCCUGAUGCAGCCAUGCCGCGUGUAUGAAGAAGGCCUUCGGGUUGUAAAGUACUUUCAGCGGGGAGGAAGGGAGUAAAGUUAAUACCUUUGCUCAUUGACGUUACCCGCAGAAGAAGCACCGGCUAACUCCGUGCCAGCAGCCGCGGUAAUACGGAGGGUGCAAGCGUUAAUCGGAAUUACUGGGCGUAAAGCGCACGCAGGCGGUUUGUUAAGUCAGAUGUGAAUCCCCGGGCUCAACCUGGGAACUGCAUCUGAUACUGGCAAGCUUGAGUCUCGUAGAGGGGGGUAGAAUUCCAGGUGUAGCGGUGAAAUGCGUAGAGAUCUGGAGGAAUACCGGUGGCGAA